GGGGCGGGGCGGACACGGGCCGCGCGCUUCCUUUGUGCGGCGAGCCCCGCCUCGCGCCCUCCGGAAGGCGGGUUAGGGACGCCCGGGGCUCAGCUUAGGGAGGCGGGCGCCACGCCACGAGGAGGCUGCCCUGAUAGCCGGUGCAAGUGCUCCUUGGCGGGGCGGCCCGCGACUCCCGCCUUGGACCGUUCACUCCCUGAGGGGCCUGGGGGUCAGUCAGAAGACUAACGACCACCAGUCACCGAGAGCUCAGUUCGUGCCAAACCCUGCUCGCGCUGUCCCCGACUUAUUGUUCACAACGACCCUACAAGUCAUUCUCCUUCCCACUGGGAACCGAGGAUCAGAGGGAAGUCAUGGCCCGAGUGCCCCGGUCACACCUCCGUGAGCGGCCUCGGGCUCGCGGUUGAGGCUGAUUGAGGAAGUGGGUUCAGGCGGCCCGCCGUGCCUGGCACACGGUCAGAGUCCCCUGACAGGACUUUCCCCUUUCUCUGAGAUGACAAUCAGGCCGCUUUGCUUUGCACUGCCCUCAGAGAAGCAGUGUGCCCAGAAGUCAAGUGUGAGCUCUUGAGUCAAAAUGCUUGGAUUUGAAUUCCAACUCUGCUGCUUACCAGCUGUGUGACAUGGGGUGAGUGAGUUACCUGACCUCUCUGUACCUCUAUGUCAUCAUCUUUAAAAUGGAGCCCACAGCAACCAGGGAAAUAGUCUAACAGAAGCCUAGGAUGAAGAAUUUCGGGAAAGAAGAAACGUCCAGCAAGGCCAAGUCCCUUUGUGUGUCAGUCUGCUUUCUCUCUCACACAUACGUGCACACAGGCUCGUACACACAAAGAUGUUAAGCAAAAUAUAAAGCCCCUCCACUGAUAGCUGAUGAUUGUGGAUUUUUCUCCUAACAUAAAAAGAGAUUCUUAGUCAUCUAGAUUUGGUGCUACAGUGGAUAGCUGAAAUGACCUUCAUCAAAAUCGUUGGGGAUUUUAGCAGAUGACAGUCCCACCUGUAUGCUUUGGUUUUUAUUGGAUUCCCUAAGUAAAAGUGUGCUUGCAGUUUGGAGGCUGCUUUGGGAGGGAAAUAGGGUACCCAAGAAUCCUGGAAUCAGCAACACUGCAUUGUCCAGCCUAUCACAGACAGAAAUCACUGCCCCCUGCACAAAACGCUCUCUGUGUUCAAACAAAGCAGCUGUGUGGCCUUCCAGCAGAGUUCUCGCUCCUCAGCUGAGACCUGAGGCGGGCUGAGGAUGCAGAACAAAGACCUGGCAUCUGGAGGCCCAACUGGGUGAAAGGGCCCUGGCUUUUCAACAACCCGACAGUUCCCUUUUAUCACAGCAUAUCCCUCCCAGUCAGCAACUUUCUCCUCACCUUUGGGCCUGAGUGUGCACCCAAAGCCUGGAGUUUAUCCACUAGAAUGAGGACUCCAAGAACCAAGUCUCCUAUCUGGGGCUGUGGCCCACUCCCUUAGGACUCGGCUUCCCUGAAGGCCAGGCCCAAGGGACCCCUGCUGCCUGCCUCUCUUCUGCCCUCCAUUGCUCAGUCCUCAUGUCAGUGAGAAGGGCAAGCCAGGCCCUUCUCCUUCCCCUCCAAAGCCCAACCUCUUAGGCUCUGUUCUCCGCCCCUUACUCCCCUCCCCCACCUGCUCCCCCACCCCUAUUCUCGGCAUAAGGGACCUUUUCUAUUUGCAGAGCCUGAAGAAGCCGGUUGCCAAGGUGACAGGAGCAGGAACAGCAGGGAGCUUGCCAUGGGGGAGGGGCUUUGCCCCCAAACAGCUGUCAGUGGGAGCAGUCCCAGCUGGGACUGGAGGGUCUGCCUGCUCUGGGAGGAAACAGCCCCCAGGAGAACACAUUCCUCACUGCCAUACCCCCUCCUACUGGCCCACUGCAAGUCUCCACUGGUUACUUUCCCUGGGGGCAGCCAGCCAGCCAGCUCAAAAAAUGCUCCAAUAACAAACAAAAAAUGUGUGCGCGCUCGCUUGCUUUCUCUCUCCCAGACACACACACACACACACACACACUUGCUUUCACACACACACACACACACACACACACACACACACGCUCAAGCACGCUCUUCUCUCCUGCUCUCAGAUCCCUUGGUUCAUUGACAGUGGGUUGGCUGGGCAGGAGGCCAGAAGUCACCUCUGCCCAGGGAACUGUAUAGCCCAAGACAGGUGCUGCUCCUGGCUGCCGUGCACUAGGUCCUAAGAAUGAUUUCAGUCUUUUUGUCCAGAGGCCCUGAGAGGACCUUCCCCUACUAAAACUCCCCAGCUGCCUUCCAUAUGGGAGGUGGGAGUGGGGCAGCGCCAUCUCUGGGCUUACAGAGAGGAAGGGGUGGGAGAGAGGAAGAAUGAACAGGAUGGUGGGAGGCAGGAACAAUGCAGGCCCACUGCUUUGUGUCUCUGGGGAGAGGUUCUUUGUGGAGCUGCAGCUCACAGCUGCUCCAUAGAAAGUUCUGUGGAGCCACUGGUCUCUGUACUGCAUUCUAGCCAGGCACUGUUAGCCUUAGGCCCUCGGGCCUCAAGCCUGUCACCUGCUGGUGUUUACCUUUACAUGGGGUCUCCACCAGACUCUGCAAACCCUCAAUAGGCUUAGACCCCCCAGAUACUUUCAGCUUUGGGUCAGAAACAGGAAAGGCUGAGGAGGCCCCAGAUUACUGUAAGAACUGAGAGGGACGAUCUGGCUUGAGAUGAAGAACAGUGUUUGACUCAGCCAGCUAUGGCCCCCAGUCCUGCCACUUACUACUUAGGUGACUUUGAGUGCGUGACGGAUGUGGUAAGCUCCUGGAGAACCUCUCUGAGCUUCAGUUUGCUCAUCUGUAAAAUGGAUAAAGACAGCUACCGGACAGGGAUCUUUCCAGGGUUUAAAGAAGCGUGAUGCAUACAAUGCAGGGCACGUUAUCUAGCACACGACGGACGUCCUGUGAGUGCUGGUCCCGUUUCUGUCCAGUUUUCUUGAGAACUGAGUUGCCUAGCAGCCUUAGGAGGAACCCAAGAACUAGUCUUUCUUUUGAACAGUGUUAGAACUUGGGGGGCUGGCUUAGAUUUAGAGAGAGGUUACAUUUCGGCCUGGGCUGGAAGGGGGUUCUCAGGAAGGCCUGAGACGCAGAUGGUCCGCCAGGGCAUGCGGAUUGAAUGAGAAACUAGAAGAAGUGCUCAUCUGGGGUCUCAGCUGUAGUCCAAGCUGCUUUCAACGCAUUGAAAGAGCCCCCAGUCUACCCUUCUGAGCCUCACUUUCUUUUUCCAUAAAAGGAAGAGGCUGGGCCACUUUCUGGAGAAAGCCAUGCCAGACAGUGAGAAACAUCUGAAGCCACAGGGCCGUGAGGCCUCCGUGGGGAGGUGCCUUUCUUGGCUCAGCGGUGACCACUGGAAUGCAGCGACUGACCCUUUGCCCCUGGGUGACUUCUGAAGCCUCAAGAAGGUGAAUGAGGGAUUUUGACCCCGUUUCCUCCUAACUCAGUGCCAUGUGCGCUGCUUUGCUUUUCUCUGCCUGGGAACCUUCCCCACUCUGUCUGUCAGGUCACAUGCUCGUGCCGCAAGGCUCAUGUGCCAUGUCCUCUGAAGGACGGCAUCUCUGACCCAUUCUGCCUGACAGGCAGCUGACCAUCUGUGCCCACACUGUACCUGGUACUUAGUCCUAAAAUAGAAUUUAUGAAGUGGAAUGGAUUUGCUUCUAUAUCUGGUUCCCUUCUUUUGACUGCACACUCUAGGGAAAAAUAAAAAUCCUAUCUUAUUUUGACAAAGAUGUAUUGAGAUAUAUUCUUGAUGUAUUUUCUCAAGAAAAAACCCCACAGAUUAGAUUGGAUGGUAAAAUGGUUUGAGAGAGGACUGAGGUUAGUGGUUGUCUCAGGGAUGCGAUCAGCGUGACCCUCUCUUUAAUGCAAAGCCAUGUGCUUCGCCACUCUAUUUAUUUCUAUGGUAAAACAGGGUGGUCUUGUUACCUAGAUCGAUAGGCCUGGCUUCUUGGGCUCUUGGCAGAUUUUCCCAUUAAAGAUUGCCUACAAUGGGCAGCACAGGGAGAGUUUUAGUAGGCAGGGAAAGGGGUCUAGCAGGGCAUGUGGAUUCAUCGGACCUGCCUCACAAGCAAGCUCCUAGAUUUAUUCUCAAGUGUUACCCUCACUAGCAAGCCUUUCCUAGCUCCUCUCCUCAAGCCACAUAGCUCUUCUGUUCUGACAGUGUUCAGAGCUUAGAUCUAUUAUGGCAUAUGCACUGCACUCUCUGUCUCCCCAGCUACACUGUGGAGGGCAGGACCUGAGUCUCAUUUAUCUCUGCACACCUAGAAUUGGCAACAUGAUUGGCAAAUACUAAUCAACAAAUGCUUGCUGAAUGAUGAGAAAAAUAAACUUCCUACAUUCCCAUCUCUCUGUCUGGUUCUUACAUGCUUCUGGCUAGCCCCUGGCCUUUUUGCUGAGUCUUGGAGAAUUUCAAAAUAGUUCAACUGCCUGCCUCCAGCCACUCCAGGUUGUGCCCACAGCUCCACCGCUGUGGCUGCGUACCCUGAUUCAUCGCUGUGCCUACAGUGCAGAAGGACUCCUUUAUUCCAACUAACAUGGCUGCCCUGCGUAAAGUUAGACCAGAAGCAUGGCACAGAGCCAGGAGCUGAUGGACAUUUUGAGAUAGGGAGGGAGGAGAGAGAGAUCCAUGGCUGGUAUCUUUGCAAAUCCAUGGGAAAAAGGAAAGUGUGAAAGUCUCCUCCUGACUCACGGCCCUGAGUUUUCUGGGAAAGGAUUCCUGCUUCCUGAAGACCUUACCUGGUGCAAUGAGGGGGUGGGCAGCCACAGCAGGAACCGUCCGGCUGAGCCCAGCCCGGCCUUCCAUGCUCCCUGG
RNAcentral lists this long non-coding RNA (4806 nucleotides) under Homo sapiens (human). RNAcentral's name for it is "HSALNT0004568". The record is from RNAcentral. Lineage: Eukaryota; Metazoa; Chordata; Mammalia; Primates; Hominidae.